RNAcentral lists this ribosomal RNA (291 nucleotides) under uncultured bacterium. Its description in RNAcentral is "partial 16S ribosomal RNA". It matches the Rfam family "Bacterial small subunit ribosomal RNA", at positions 333 to 616 of the family's 1533-position model. The record is from RNAcentral.
ACGGUCCUACGGGGGGCAGCAGUGGGGAAUAUUGCGCAAUGGGCGAAAGCCUGACGCAGCGACGCCGCGUGAGGGAUGAAGGUCUUCGGAUCGUAAACCUCUGUCAGCAGGGAAGAACGGUCACUGUGCUAAUCAGCAGUGAAUUGACGGUACCUGCAAAGGAAGCACCGGCUAACUCCGUGCCAGCAGCCGCGGUAAUACGGAGGGUGCGAGCGUUAAUCGGAAUUACUGGGCGUAAAGCGCUCGUAGCGGGUAUGCCAGGUCAAGGGUGAAAUCCCCGCGCUCACCGCG